This 315-nucleotide ribosomal RNA is filed under the name uncultured eukaryote. RNAcentral describes it as "partial 18S ribosomal RNA". It matches the Rfam family "Eukaryotic small subunit ribosomal RNA", at positions 1470 to 1796 of the family's 1831-position model. The record is from RNAcentral.
CCCUUAGAUGUUCUGGGCUGCACGCGCGCUACACUGACGCACGCAACAGGUUCCUGCUCCGAGAGGACUGGGUAAUCAUUUGAGUGUGCGUCGUGAUGGGGAUAGAAUAUUGUAAUUAUUACUCUUCAACGAGGAAUUCCUAGUAAGCGCCAGUCAGCAGCUUGCGCUGAUUACGUCCCUGCCCUUUGUACACACCGCCCGUCGCUCCUACCGAUGGGUGAUCCGGUGAAUGAUUCGGACUUCAGCGGCUCCCCUGGGGUGCGCCGGAGAAAGUUUUGUGAACCUUAUCACUUGGAGGAAGGAGAAGUCGUAACA